AGUGAACGCUGGCGGUAGGCCUAACACAUGCAAGUCGAACGGCAGCACAGUAAGAGCUUGCUCUUACGGGUGGCGAGUGGCGGACGGGUGAGGAAUACAUCGGAAUCUACUUUUUCGUGGGGGAUAACGUAGGGAAACUUACGCUAAUACCGCAUACGACCUACGGGUGAAAGCAGGGGAUCUUCGGACCUUGCGCGAUUGAAUGAGCCGAUGUCGGAUUAGCUAGUUGGCGGGGUAAAGGCCCACCAAGGCGACGAUCCGUAGCUGGUCUGAGAGGAUGAUCAGCCACACUAGAACUGAGACACGGUCCAGACUCCUACGGGAGGCAGCAGUGGGGAAUAUUGGACAAGGGGCGCAAGCCUGAUCCAGCCAUACCGCGUGGGUGAAGAAGGCCUUCGGGUUGUAAAGCCCUUUUGUUGGGAAAGAAAAGCAGCAGGUUAAUACCCCGCUGUUCUGACGGUACCCAAAGAAUAAGCACCGGCUAACUUCGUGC
RNAcentral lists this ribosomal RNA (493 nucleotides) under uncultured bacterium. RNAcentral's name for it is "partial 16S ribosomal RNA". It matches the Rfam family "Bacterial small subunit ribosomal RNA", at positions 29 to 508 of the family's 1533-position model. The record is from RNAcentral.